UUCACAGAAGCGGAUUUUAGCUGUGCCUCGUGAUGGUUUCUGAGAUGGAAAGCUAAUAAGUAUUAAGGAUGCAAUCAGUGCUUUAAAUUAUUCUUAUUACAUUAUAUUUAUUACCAUUGAGUUACAGUGUGAUUUAGAAAUGGUAGUAACCUAAAUAUCCCAUUUUCUCUCAUUUUUAUAUCACUGUGUGUGUGUGUGUUCACUGUUCACAGUUCUCCUCACUGGUUUCUUUUUAUACUUGGAAAAGAUUUCUGAGAGGUAUUUUUCUAUCAUAUACUUCCCCCGCCCCCACAAAAGCUUCAUCUUCUCUAUAGGCUGCCCCUUAUUUGUAUUUUGAAGAAGUAAACGUGGAUCCAUUAUCUUAGGAAAACAGCAGCUCCGUAAGCCCUGGCACACGUAAUCCUUUCAUCAGGAUUGUGGUUGGAGUCCUUGACCUCUGUUCCUUUUUGCCGUUCCUACCUGCUGAGCUCCAGUGGGGUCUGCGAUGUCCCAGGCGAGUCCUGCUAGUCACUGAUGGUGUGGCUGUGAUGAAUAAGGCACAGCUUUGAGGAGUUCAGAGUCUAGUCAAAGGCCGCAAAGGCAGAGGCAGGUACAAAAAAAGAGCAGCCACAAUAAAGGCCCUUCCAGAAAACUUCCAACAAACGCUCUGUGUUCUGGGUGGAUGCCAUAUUGUUUUCCUCUCUGCCGUAGCCUCUGUAGCCGGUGGUUUUAAGAAUCUGGUUGCAGGGGCGCCUGGAGCUUCUUUAGCCACAAGUACUCCAGUCUGAAGCUUGGACAAAACGAUAAGAUAGCAAUUUUGAGUAGUAGGAGCUCCACUGGCCUUUUGCACCUUACCUUGCGGGGGAGGGCAAGCCUGUGGCGGACAUGGAGUUGCCCGUGAACGACAGUCGUGGAGCUAAGGGGCUGAUGUGGAUGCCUGGUCAUACAUUCUGGCUUGGGAAAAAGUGUUAUCAAGAAAGUUAACUCGUUCAUCUCCUGUGAGUUGCUGGCUUACAGGACUACUUUUGAGGGUCCCAUUUUCUGAGGGUAAGAGUCAUUUAAAAGGGGACAGACCGAUCCUAAAUGAGUACCCCAGGGUCACUGACUUUGUUUCCGGCUCACGUCUUCCUAGUAAAGCACCAGCUGGGCCUCGAACGGAUCAUUCUGAAAGCAGUAUCCAGCCACGUGUUUGCUUUUACCACACGGAAGGCAGAGACUUCCCAUCUUAAGACGGGAAUGUAGACAUUCUUCAGCCUCCAGGAAGUUACAGACCCCUUGCCAAUACUUUUAAAGCUACGAACCCUUUCCUCUGGGAUGCACACAACACUAAAUACACCUUCGGGGGCCAUCGUCGUCCACGAAGCUGUGCUCUUGUGGCUGGAGACCAAGGCGGCACGGCACAGAACGGAGGCCCCUUUGCCCACGUGGAAAGCUGCUGCGUGUUUACUUAGUGAAAUCGUGUUUGGCACUCUUGAGCAUGCUCUACCUUUUGAGGAAUGGAUUUCAUUUUGUAGAGUCAGGCUGAAAAAGUCAACUAAGAGAGUGCGUGUGGCUGGCAGUGGCCCGGAGCGACCCCGUCCGGCUUCUCUUAGAGUGUGGGUGAGGGUGAGCACAGCCCUUGUCAAAUGCUUUGUCCUCCUUUGUAGCUGUGCUGUGAAAAUGCUAGAACUUCCAGCUGUGCGGCAGGGCUUGCUGCACGUCUGUGUUUCGCUCGUAGAAGCUACCUGUUCACUGAGCAUCCUCUCCUAUCCAACAUUGAGCGGAGGUGGGCUGGGGGCACUGCCGGCCUCCGUCCUGUGACAGGGAGUUCUGCUCCUGGGGGGUGGAUUGCCGCAUGCGUUUUAAACUGUGUUCGCGUUGGUUUAUUUUGCUUAUUGUCAGUCCCAGUUGAUAGAAUAUCUACAAUGAUGGGAGUUGUUACCUAGUGCUGUAUCGCAGGCUCCUACCACAGCGACUGGCUGGAGUGUAAUGGACAUUGUGUAAAUAUUUGGUGAACACAUGAACACACUGUUAGGAGAAGUCCUAGUUUGUUGGCAACUGUGUUGAUUUAAAAGGCAAACCGUCCUCGGCAGGAGACGAGAGGGGAGACUCAGCCUCACGGUGGAGAGAGGAAUAUUUCUGUAAAUGACUAGGGCUCUACAUGUAAGUAAUGACAGUCCUUGGCUUUUUACUGUGACCUGACCACUUUCCAAGUUCAGUACAAGUUCAGUGUUGCCUUGCAGUGAUGAAAAUUUUUUUUUUUUUGAAAUUGAAGUUGUAAAGCCCCUGAUCUCUGUUAUUUCCCAGAGCGACCUCUUGAAAAGGAACAUUGAUUGAAAUGCGCAAUUGCCAGUAAUUGGGGGUUCUUCUGAGGGCGUGGAGAUGAAGUGGCUCCUUCUGGGCGAUCGUUGGCCGUUUGGUCCUGUUAUUCACAAGUGAUGUGAAACCUUUAAAAAAGAUUGGCAAAGAUGAUAUUGUGUCAUUUGUGGAACAUAAUAGAUGUUAAUUCGUGAUUGCUUUGUUCAGCCUGCUGGAAAUGAAAUGUAUUGUUUCAGCGUUCUCUCUUUAGCUGUAAAAAUACUCUGUCACUGAAA
Neofelis nebulosa (Clouded leopard) is the source of this 2552-nucleotide long non-coding RNA. RefSeq lists it as uncharacterized. The record is from RefSeq and is a predicted model, not a curated record. NCBI's taxonomy places the organism in Eukaryota, Metazoa, Chordata, Mammalia, Carnivora, Felidae. The transcript is spliced from 2 exons.